UGAGUAACACGUGGGCAACCUGCCCUUUGCACUGGGAUAGCCUCGGGAAACCGAGGUUAAUACCGGAUACUCCAUAUUUGUCGCAUGGCGAAUAUGGGAAAGCUCCGGCGGCAAGGAUGGGCCCGCGGCCUGUUAGCUAGUUGGUGGGGUAGUGGCCUACCAAGGCAAUGAUGGGUAGCCGGGUUGAGAGACCGACCGGCCAGAUUGGGACUGAGACACGGCCCAGACUCCUACGGGAGGCAGCAGCA
RNAcentral lists this ribosomal RNA (248 nucleotides) under uncultured Atopobium sp. Its description in RNAcentral is "partial 16S ribosomal RNA". It matches the Rfam family "Bacterial small subunit ribosomal RNA", at positions 107 to 355 of the family's 1533-position model. Lineage: Bacteria; Bacillati; Actinomycetota; Coriobacteriia; Coriobacteriales; Atopobiaceae. The record is from RNAcentral.